AUACGGAGGAUGCAAGCGUUAUCCGGAUUUAUUGGGUUUAAAGGGUGCGUAGGCGGUUUGCUAAGCGGGAGGUGAAAUGCCGGCGCUCAACGUCGGAAGUGCCUCCCGAACUGGUGGACUUGAAUGACUCUGCCGUGGGAGGAAUGUGUAGUGUAGCGGUGAAAUGCUUAGAGAUUACACAGAACACCGAUUGCGAAGGCAUCUCACGAAGGGUUGAUUGACGCUGAGGCACGAAAGCGUGGGGAUCAAACAGGAUUAGAUACCCUGGUAGUCCACGCAGUAAACGAUGAUGGCUAACCGCUGGGCUUAUCAGUUCAGUGGCCAAGCGAAAGCGAUAAGCCAUCCACCUGGGGAGUACGACCGCAAGGUUGAAACUCAAAUAAAUUGACGGGG
Molecule: ribosomal RNA, 393 nt
Filed under: uncultured bacterium
Lineage: Bacteria
Description: partial 16S ribosomal RNA
Rfam family: Bacterial small subunit ribosomal RNA
Source: RNAcentral